Molecule: ribosomal RNA, 240 nt
Filed under: uncultured bacterium
Lineage: Bacteria
Description: partial 16S ribosomal RNA
Rfam family: Bacterial small subunit ribosomal RNA
Source: RNAcentral
UAACCUGCCCAAGAGACUGGGAUAACACCUGGAAACAGAUGCUAAUACCGGAUAACAACACUAGACGCAUGUCUAGAGUUUAAAAGAUGGUUCUGCUAUCACUCUUGGAUGGACCUGCGGUGCAUUAGCUAGUUGGUAAGGCAACGGCUUACCAAGGCAAUGAUGCAUAGCCGAGUUGAGAGACUGAUCGGCCACAUUGGGACUGAGACACGGCCCAAACUCCUACGGGAGGCAGCAGUU